CUGCUGCCUUCCGUAGGAGUUUGGACCGUGUCUCAGUUCCAAUGUGGGGGACCUUCCUCUCAGAACCCCUACGCAUCGUCGGCUUGGUGGGCCGUUGCCCCACCAACUGCCUAAUGCGCCGCAUGCCCAUCCGUGACCGGGGUCGCCCCCUUUGGCCGGCAGGGGAUGUCCCCUCCCGGCAUUAUGUUGUAUUAGGCGGGAUUUCUCCCGGUUAUCCAUCUGUCACGGCCAGGUUGCAUACGUGUUACUCACCCGUGCGCCGGUCGCCGG
RNAcentral lists this ribosomal RNA (270 nucleotides) under uncultured bacterium. RNAcentral describes it as "partial 16S ribosomal RNA". The record is from RNAcentral.